UCCGCCAUAGCUCAGUCGGUAGAGCAGGUGGCUGUUAACCACCGGGUCGGGGGUUCGAGUCCCUCUGGCGGAGCCA
This 76-nucleotide transfer RNA is filed under the name Deltaproteobacteria bacterium. RNAcentral's name for it is "tRNA-Asn". It matches the Rfam family "tRNA". From Rfam's summary of the family: Transfer RNA (tRNA) molecules are approximately 80 nucleotides in length. The record is from RNAcentral. Lineage: Bacteria; Pseudomonadati; Myxococcota; Myxococcia.